RNAcentral lists this ribosomal RNA (477 nucleotides) under uncultured bacterium. RNAcentral describes it as "bacterial SSU rRNA". It matches the Rfam family "Bacterial small subunit ribosomal RNA", at positions 29 to 524 of the family's 1533-position model. The record is from RNAcentral.
AGCGAACGCUGGCGGCAGGCUUAACACAUGCAAGUCGAGCGGGCGUAGCAAUACGUCAGCGGCAGACGGGUGAGUAACGCGUGGGAACGUACCUUUUGGUUCGGAACAACACAGGGAAACUUGUGCUAAUACCGGAUAAGCCCUUACGGGGAAAGAUUUAUCGCCGAAAGAUCGGCCCGCGUCUGAUUAGCUAGUUGGUGAGGUAACGGCUCACCAAGGCGACGAUCAGUAGCUGGUCUGAGAGGAUGAUCAGCCACAUUGGGACUGAGACACGGCCCAAACUCCUACGGGAGGCAGCAGUGGGGAAUAUUGGACAAUGGGCGCAAGCCUGAUCCAGCCAUGCCGCGUGAGUGAUGAAGGCCCUAGGGUUGUAAAGCCCUGUCGCAGGGGAAGAAUAAGCAUCGGUAUAAUACGCCGGUGCCCUGACGGUACCCUGCAAGAAGCACCGGCUAACUCCGUGCCAGCAGCCGCGGUAAU